AGAGUUUGAUCCUGGCUCAGGAUGAACGCUAGCUACAGGCUUAACACAUGCAAGUCGAGGGGAAACGAUAGAGAAAGCUUGCUUUUUCUAGGCGUCGACCGGCGCACGGGUGAGUAACGCGUAUCCAACCUGCCCACCACUUGGGGAUAACCUUGCGAAAGUAAGACUAAUACCCAAUGACGUCUCUAGAAGACAUCUGAAAGGGAUUAAAGAUUUAUCGGUGAUGGAUGGGGAUGCGUCUGAUUAGCUUGUUGGCGGGGUAACGGCCCACCAAGGCAACGAUCAGUAGGGGUUUCUGAGAGGAAGGUCCCCCCACAUUGGGAACUGAGACACGGUCCAAACUCCUACGGGAGGCAGCAGUGAGGAAUAUUGGUCAAUGGGCGAGAGCCUGAACCAGCCAAGUAGCGUGCAGGAUGACGGCCCUAUGGGUUGUAAACUGCUUUUAUAAGGGAAUAAAGUGAGCCUCGUGAGGCUUUUUGCAUGUACCUUAUGAAUAAGGACCGGCUAAUUCCGUGCCAGCAGCCGCGGUAAUACGGAAGGUCCGGGCGUUAUCCGGAUUUAUUGGGUUUAAAGGGAGCGUAGGCCGGAGAUUAAGCGUGUUGUGAAAUGUAGAUGCUCAACAUCUGCACUGCAGCGCGAACUGGUUUCCUUGAGUACGCACAAAGUGGGCGGAAUUCGUGGUGUAGCGGUGAAAUGCUUAGAUAUCACGAAAAACUCCGAUUGCGAAGGCAGCUCACUGGAGCGCAACUGACGCUGAAGCUCGAAAGUGCGGGUAUCGAACAGGAUUAGAUACCCUGGUAGUCCGCACGGUAAACGAUGGAUGCCCGCUGUUGGUCUGAAUAGGUCAGCGGCC
RNAcentral lists this ribosomal RNA (853 nucleotides) under uncultured bacterium. Its description in RNAcentral is "bacterial SSU rRNA". It matches the Rfam family "Bacterial small subunit ribosomal RNA", at positions 8 to 848 of the family's 1533-position model. The record is from RNAcentral.